RNAcentral lists this ribosomal RNA (235 nucleotides) under uncultured bacterium. RNAcentral's name for it is "partial 16S ribosomal RNA". It matches the Rfam family "Bacterial small subunit ribosomal RNA", at positions 104 to 334 of the family's 1533-position model. The record is from RNAcentral.
CGGGGUAGAGUAACGCGUGAGGAACCUGCCUCAAAGAGGGGGACAACAGUUGGAAACGACUGCUAAUACCGCAUAAGCCCACAGCUCGGCAUCGAGCAGAGGGAAAAGGAGCAAUCCGCUUUGAGAUGGCCUCGCGUCCGAUUAGCUAGUUGGUGAGGUAACGGCCCACCAAGGCGACGAUCGGUAGCCGGACUGAGAGGUUGAACGGCCACAUUGGGACUGAGACACGGCCCAG